This 492-nucleotide ribosomal RNA is filed under the name uncultured bacterium. Its description in RNAcentral is "partial 16S ribosomal RNA". It matches the Rfam family "Bacterial small subunit ribosomal RNA", at positions 29 to 507 of the family's 1533-position model. The record is from RNAcentral.
AGUGAACGCUGGCGGUAGGCCUAACACAUGCAAGUCGAACGGCAGCACAGUAAGAGCUUGCUCUUACGGGUGGCGAGUGGCGGACGGGUGAGGAAUACAUCGGAAUCUACUUUUUCGUGGGGGAUAACGUAGGGAAACUUACGCUAAUACCGCAUACGACCUACGGGUGAAAGCAGGGGAUCUUCGGACCUUGCGCGAUUGAAUGAGCCGAUGUCGGAUUAGCUAGUUGGCGGGGUAAAGGCCCACCAAGGCGACGAUCCGUAGCUGGUCUGAGAGGAUGAUCGGCCACACUGGAACUGGGACACGGUCCAGACGCCUACGGGAGGCAGCAGUGGGGAAUAUUGGACAAUGGGCGCAAGCCUGAUCCAGCCAUACCGCGUGGGUGAAGAAGGCCUUCGGGUUGUAAAGCCCUUUUGUUGGGAAAGAAAAGCAGCAGGUUAAUACCCCGCUGUUCUGACGGUACCCAAAGAAUAAGCACCGGCUAACUUCGUG